GACGAACGCUGGCGGCGUGCUUAACACAUGCAAGUCGAACGGAAAGGCCCUGCUUUUGUGGGGUGCUCGAGUGGCGAACGGGUGAGUAACACGUGAGUAACCUGCCCUUGACUUUGGGAUAACUUCAGGAAACUGGGGCUAAUACCGGAUAGGAGCUCCUGCUGCAUGGUGGGGGUUGGAAAGUUUCGGCGGUUGGGGAUGUACUCGCGGCUUAUCAGCUUGUUGGUGGGGUAGUGGCUUACCAAGGCUUUGACGGGUAGCCGGCCUGAGAGGGUGACCGGCCACAUUGGGACUGAGAUACGGCCCAGACUCCUACGGGAGGCAGCAGUGGGGAGUAUUGCACAAUGGGCGGAAGCCUGAUGCAGCAACGCCGCGUGCGGGAUGACGGCAUUCGGGUUGUAAUCCGCUUUCGCCUGUGACGAAGCGUGAGUGACGGUAAUGGGUAAAGAAGCACCGGCUAACUACGUG
RNAcentral lists this ribosomal RNA (468 nucleotides) under uncultured bacterium. RNAcentral describes it as "partial 16S ribosomal RNA". It matches the Rfam family "Bacterial small subunit ribosomal RNA", at positions 28 to 507 of the family's 1533-position model. The record is from RNAcentral.